AGAACGAACGCUGGCGGCAUGCCUAACACAUGCAAGUCGAACGAGACCUUCGGGUCUAGUGGCGCACGGGUGCGUAACGCGUGGGAAUCUGCCCUUGGGUUCGGAAUAACAGCUAGAAAUGGCUGCUAAUACCGGAUGAUGACGUAAGUCCAAAGAUUUAUCGCCCAAGGAUGAGCCCGCGUAGGAUUAGCUUGUGGUGAGGUAAAGGCUCACCAAGGCGACGAUCCUUAGCUGGUCUGAGAGGAUGAUCAGCCACACUGGGACUGAGACACGGCCCAGACUCCGUACGGGAGCCAGCAGUGGGAAUGUGGACAAGUGGGACGAACGCCUGAUCCGAGCAAGUCGCCGCGUAGAGUGA
This 358-nucleotide ribosomal RNA is filed under the name uncultured soil bacterium. RNAcentral describes it as "bacterial SSU rRNA". It matches the Rfam family "Bacterial small subunit ribosomal RNA", at positions 26 to 408 of the family's 1533-position model. The record is from RNAcentral.